Physcomitrium patens is the source of this 2518-nucleotide non-coding RNA. NCBI's taxonomy places the organism in Eukaryota, Viridiplantae, Streptophyta, Bryopsida, Funariales, Funariaceae. The record is from RefSeq and is a predicted model, not a curated record.
UCCACUGAGGUGGAUUUCUAUACUCUGAUGAUACUCUUGGAACUAGCGGAGCUUCAGCAACUUGAUCUGAACCUGUCUGGGAAUGUGUCGCCUGAGAUCGCUCUCGCAGCGCGCCACUACAAAAAACAGAAGGCUUCAGUCAGUCUAGUUUCGCAGUUUAUGGUUCAUGAUUGUGUUGGUGAUUCGCCGGGGAUUUUGAGGCCUUUCUCCGAAACUGUUACGAACUCGAAAUGUGGCUGCUUGCCACUUUCAGCGCCACAUGAAUGGUGGUGCAGCGUCGGGUUGGCCUGGACGUGGCGCAGCUGACGCAGAUCUGAGCUGGGGGACCCAACCAGGUGAUAUCACAUUUUCCAACUGGUACAGGGGGAUCUAGUUGAAAGAGAGGACGAUAGCUACAUUUCCAUGUCAGGUUCGUCCAUGACGAUGGCUUAUCGUACAGCCCAUCUCUCACUCUCACUCACUCAACAGACUUUGUCACUAUCCAUUUCCUGUUUUGUUAUUGCUGAACAAGCUAACGGAUGUCGUAAGUGGCUGUUGUCAAGGCCAACAUGUUUCGUUCGCGGCACGAUUUGAGCAAAGGCCAGGGAAUCAAUUGGCUGCGUCAAGGGCUGCGUUGCAUGUACUUUUACUUUGAUCAUUUCGGGUGUUAGAGUUGCCAUGGGUUUAACUUAAAAAGUAGCUGUUUGGGUACUUGUUCAUUUAUUUAUUUUCAUCGUUGGAUGUCUCCGUCCCGUGGAUUUAAAUUGGAGAAUUGCAUAGUGCCCUUCUUUUGACAGGAAUUGGACAUUUUUUAUCAACAGAAGGGAUCUAACUAUGCUUUGAGGAGAAGCUUAUUGGAGGUAAGACUCUUCUCACGCACUAGAUGCAUUUGCUAAGAUGUAAGUUCUUUGCUUGUCUGGGUGGGAACGUCUCGAAUUUCUGACGUGGUGAGUUCAACGUCGUUAAAUUUUUCACAUCAAAAUGUGAGGCGGCAGCGGUGCUUUUUAAGGUGUUACCGAGAUAGCAUUUCUUUUUAAGUUUUUUGCAGGGUUUUCGAGAUUUAACGAGUACGGAGCAGUCGGCUUUUGGUAUUCUAUGGUUGCCAUAUCCUCCGUCACAGAGGACCAGGCACUGCAUCCGUUGCAGAAGUUAGACAAUGGCGCAGGGAAGUCACCGAGUGUUGCGUGGUCUGGGAUCGUCCAUUUGGUAAACUUGUGCUUCGCUGUUGCGCUUAGAUCAACCACACGAGGUUCCUUCACUUUGUCGUAUCGUUAUACUCAAGUGAAUGCACUUCCUAAAUCCUGAUUUGCCUCAGCAAUUCUUAGUGAGCUGUUUCAGGAGCACUUGAGCUUGUGCUAUUUUAAAUCGAGAUUAGAAAUCAAGUUAGUAAGUUUGUGGAAGAGGAACGAUGUAGAGUCAGAUAAUUGAGCUGGGUCUUCAGGUUGUUGUGUGCAUAUUCUUCUGUCAUCCUGGAAAUUUCACAACAUGGAGACUUGUAUGUUGAGUGUUUAUCCUUAGUUAUUCUAACCUGUUUCAUGAGUCAUGCUGCAGGUGUAUCAUGACAUUGUGCAUAAAGCUUAUAAGUUUUAUUUAUACUUGUCCUGAAUGCGUGUAUCAUACCUUGGUACUCUAUGUUCAGGAAUGCCUAAGUUGUUUUUCAAGGCAUCAUAAAAUCCACAUGCUGAGCUAAGCAUGGAUAUAUUGAGGUUCACUUGAACUAAUGAGUGGUUGUUUCAGGUGUGCACUCUUUAAUGAUCCUUGAGAAAGGUGCUUUGUUUAGGACAGUGUACUAUCACAGGUACGAAACUUGAACAGAGCAGUGUGACUCAUUUGUGGGAUCUAAAAAAUUGUUUAUUUAGUGGUACAUUUCUUGUCUAAUUGUGCUUCCAACUUCCUAAAUCCUGCAUACUUUAAGUGAUGUGAAUUUAAUUAUUUAGUUUGGUCUAGAUAUAAGCAGGAGUGCUCUUGAAGGGCUCAACAAUUUGUGAACUGAUCUCACACCAAAGUUGGUUGCUGUUAUUACACAACUUUGCUUAUUGACAUUGAGGGGACUAAUAUUGCUAUCAGUUUACAAUCAUUUAUUUAUACUUUAGCAAUACAAGUUAAAGUAAAACUAAAUAAAAGUAAAUGAAUUUGUACAUGUGUGGAGUUGAAGACAGCUUCUGAGUCCUUCAAGCGAGAUCCUUGAAUCAUGCAACUACCCUCCAAGAGUUUUUGCAGAUACCCUUAAGAAUACUCUUCAAACCUUAAAGAAAUCAGAUGCUAGAUGGUUUAUUGGAUAGUGACUGGAUCGAUUAUCUAAUUUUUUGCCUGGAAGAGACUGGUGAUCAGCAAUGUAUGCAAUGUUGAAUUCUCUGUGAUUUUCUCAGCUACUUACAGAAGCCAGGCUCUAAUUAGCUGUAUGAAAGUUUUGGUUGAGAAUUUGCUUAGCUGGGUGGAUGUCUGGUGCUCUCAUUCCACUUGUAAAACUUGAGUGAGAGUUUUACAUGUGAACCUCAAUCAAUCAAAAACAUUUGUUAACAGAGACUUUUUUAAUACG